Molecule: ribosomal RNA, 497 nt
Filed under: uncultured bacterium
Lineage: Bacteria
Description: partial 16S ribosomal RNA
Rfam family: Bacterial small subunit ribosomal RNA
Source: RNAcentral
GAUGAACGCUGGCGGCGUGCCUAAUACAUGCAAGUCGAGCGAACAGACGAGGAGCUUGCUCCUUUGAUGUUAGCGGCGGACGGGUGAGUAACACGUAGGUAACCUACCUAUAAGACUGGGAUAACUUCGGGAAACCGGAGCUAAUACCGGAUAAUAUUUCGAACCGCAUGGUUCGAUAGUGAAAGAUGGCUUUGCUAUCACUUAUAGAUGGACCUGCGCCGUAUUAGCUAGUUGGUAAGGUAACGGCUUACCAAGGCAACGAUACGUAGCCGACCUGAGAGGGUGAUCGGCCACACUGGAACUGAGACACGGUCCAGACUCCUACGGGAGGCAGCAGUAGGGAAUCUUCCGCAAUGGGCGAAAGCCUAACGGAGCAACGCCGCGUGAGUGAUGAAGGUCUUCGGAUCGUAAAACUCUGUUAUUAGGGAAGAACAAACGUGUAAGUAACUGUGCACGUCUUGACGGUACCUAAUCAGAAAGCCACGGCUAACUACGUG